AGCUUUGCGCAGUGACAGUAUCGUAGCCAAUGAGGUUUAUCCGAGGCGCGAUUAUUGCUAAUUGAAACUUCCUAAACAUUUAAAAAUAAUUUCUCUAGUGAAAAUUA
Molecule: small nuclear RNA, 107 nt
Filed under: Neogale vison (American mink)
Lineage: Eukaryota; Metazoa; Chordata; Mammalia; Carnivora; Mustelidae
Description: Neovison vison (American mink) U4 spliceosomal RNA (ENSNVIG00000014343.1)
Rfam family: U4 spliceosomal RNA
About the family: U4 small nuclear RNA (U4 snRNA) is a component of the major U2-dependent spliceosome.
Source: Rfam by way of RNAcentral